This 458-nucleotide ribosomal RNA is filed under the name uncultured Azospira sp. RNAcentral describes it as "bacterial SSU rRNA". It matches the Rfam family "Bacterial small subunit ribosomal RNA", at positions 912 to 1382 of the family's 1533-position model. The record is from RNAcentral. Lineage: Bacteria; Pseudomonadati; Pseudomonadota; Betaproteobacteria; Rhodocyclales; Rhodocyclaceae.
GACGGGGACCCGCACAAGCGGUGGAUGAUGUGGAUUAAUUCGAUGCAACGCGAAAAACCUUACUACCCUUGACAUGCCAGGAACUUGCCAGAGAUGGCUUGGUGCCCGAAAGGGAGCCUGGACACAGGUGCUGCAUGGCUGUCGUCAGCUCGUGUCGUAAGAUGUUGGGUUAAGUCCGCUAACGAGCGCAACCCUCGCUGUAUGUUACAUGUGUCAUACAGGACCGCCGGUAUCAAGCCGGAGGAAGGUGGGGAUGACGUCAAGUCCGCAUGGCCUUUAUGUCCGGGGCUACACACACGCUACAAUGGUCGGUACAAUGGGUUGCUAAGCCGCGAGGUGGAGCCAAUCCCCCAAAGCCGGCCUCAGUUCAGAUUGCAGGCUGCAACUCGCCUGCAUGAAGCUGGAGUUGCUAGUAAACGCGCGUCAGCUAUAGUGCGUUGAAUACGUUCUCGGGCCUU